GCUGGGCAUGGUGGCGCAUGCCUGUAAUCCCAGCUACUCGGGAGGCUGAGGCAGGAGAAUCACUUGAACUCAGGAGGCGGAGGUUGCAGUGAGACGAGAUGGCACCACUGCACUCCAGCCUGGGUGACAGAGUGAGACUCUGUCUCGA
Molecule: small RNA, 148 nt
Filed under: Macaca fascicularis (crab-eating macaque)
Lineage: Eukaryota; Metazoa; Chordata; Mammalia; Primates; Cercopithecidae
Description: Metazoan signal recognition particle RNA (ENSMFAG00000054565.1)
Rfam family: Metazoan signal recognition particle RNA
About the family: The signal recognition particle (SRP) is a universally conserved ribonucleoprotein. It is involved in the co-translational targeting of proteins to membranes.
Source: Rfam by way of RNAcentral